GGAGGGCGCAAGCGUUGUUCGGAAUUACUGGGCGUAAAGGGCGGGCAGGCGGUCUGCUAAGUCUCCUGUGAAACUCCAGGGCUCAACCCCGGACAUGCAGAAGAAACUGGCAGACUAGAGACCGGUAGAGGCAAGCGGAAUUCCUGGUGUAGCGGUGGAAUGCGUAGAUAUCAGGAAGAACACCUGUGGCGAAGGCGGCUUGCUGGGCCGGAUCUGACGCUCAUCCGCGAAAGCGUGGGGGGAGCAAACAGGAUUAGAUACCCUGGUAGUCCACGCCCGUAAACGAUGGGCACUAGAUGCCGGGUUUAUAGACGAAUUCGGUGUCGCAGCUAACGCAAUAAGUGCCCCCCGCCUGGGGAGUACGGCCGCAAGGCUG
This 376-nucleotide ribosomal RNA is filed under the name uncultured organism. RNAcentral's name for it is "partial 16S ribosomal RNA". It matches the Rfam family "Bacterial small subunit ribosomal RNA", at positions 527 to 896 of the family's 1533-position model. The record is from RNAcentral.